AACGAACGCUGGCGGCAUGCCUAACACAUGCAAGUCGAACGAGACCUUCGGGUCUAGUGGCGCACGGGUGCGUAACGCGUGGGAACCUGCCCUUAGGUUCGGAAUAACUCCCCGAAAGGGGUGCUAAUACCGGAUAAUGUCUUCGGACCAAAGAUUUAUCGCCUUUGGAUGGGCCCGCGUUGGAUUAGCUAGUUGGUAGGGUAAAAGCCUACCAAGGCGACGAUCCAUAGCUGGUCUGAGAGGAUGAUCAGCCACACUGGGACUGAGACGCGGCCCAGACUCCUACGGGAGGCAGCAGUGGGGAAUAUUGGACAAUGGGCGAAAGCCUGAUCCAGCAAUGCCGCGUGAGUGAUGAAGGCCUUAGGGUUGUAAAGCUCUUUUACCCGGGAUGAUAAUGACAGUACCGGGAGAAUAAGCACCGGCUAACUCCGUG
Molecule: ribosomal RNA, 433 nt
Filed under: uncultured bacterium
Lineage: Bacteria
Description: partial 16S ribosomal RNA
Rfam family: Bacterial small subunit ribosomal RNA
Source: RNAcentral